CUAUUUAUGUGAUUUUUAACUCACACUUACUACACAUCAAGUGUAGUAUCUGUUCUUAUCAGUUUAAUAUCUGAUAUGUGGCUCAAUAGGUCACACGAUAUUAAAUUAUUUUUUUGAGGGGGAGAAGUCAUCACAAUAGCUUGCUAUUGAACUUCUCAAGUGUCGCUUAUGCGUUGCACUAUUGCAUAGGCUGGCGCACCCCAC
This 204-nucleotide small nuclear RNA is filed under the name Medicago truncatula (barrel medic). RNAcentral's name for it is "sRNA gene23050". It matches the Rfam family "U2 spliceosomal RNA". Rfam says of the family: U2 is a small nuclear RNA (snRNA) component of the spliceosome (involved in pre-mRNA splicing). Lineage: Eukaryota; Viridiplantae; Streptophyta; Magnoliopsida; Fabales; Fabaceae. The record is from Rfam by way of RNAcentral.